GGUUUCUUGUUUAUUUAGGAAAUCUAACCUGCCCACUGAAUUUUUUGAAGGGCCGCAGUAUUUUGACUGUGCAAAGGUAGCAUAAUCAUUAGUCUUUUAAUUAAAGGCUGGUAUGAAUGGUUGGAUGAGGUGAAUUCUGUCUUAUAAUAAUUAGAACUGAAAUUAGAAUUUAAGUAAAAAUACUUAAAUAUUAUUAGGGGACGAGAAGACCCUAUAGAGUUUAAUAAUAAAUUUAAUUAAUUAUGUUAAUUUAAAAUUUUUAAUUAAUUAAAAAAAUUAUUUGAUUGGGGUGAUUUAAAGAUAUAAAAAACUCUUUAUUAAAUUAAAUAUUAUAGGAAGAUAUAUGAUCCAUAAAAUUAUGAUUAAAAGAUUAAAUUACCUUAGGGAUAACAGCAUAAUUCUUUUUAAGAGUUCAUAUCGAAAAAAGAGAUUGUGACCUCGAUGUUGGAUUAAGAUAAGUUUUGGGUGUAGAUGUUUUAAAAUAAGGUCUGUUCGACCUAUAAAUUCUUACA
RNAcentral lists this ribosomal RNA (512 nucleotides) under Amorphoscelis sp. MN337. RNAcentral describes it as "partial 16S ribosomal RNA". It matches the Rfam family "Bacterial large subunit ribosomal RNA", at positions 1889 to 2600 of the family's 2925-position model. The record is from RNAcentral. Lineage: Eukaryota; Metazoa; Arthropoda; Insecta; Mantodea; Hymenopodidae.